CAGGGUAAUGUCCCUGAGCCUUGAGGAGAGGCUAUGGUUAACUUUUUUGUUUUGGGGUUCUCCCUGCCCCUUAGAAAAACUAGAUGAACCUCACUGCAAGGACGACAGAGUGGAGGGCAGUCUUCCUGCAGUUGCCUGGUGCAGGUUCCGCAGUGGACAGCGAUGAGAGCCUUUGCGCGUUCCCGUUGCCAAAAUGAGAGAACAAGUACGAACUUGGCCGAUUGCGCUUGAGUUCCCCCCCCACACAAAUGCGAACUGGAUACCAAGCAGGAAACGUUACUGAGGGGCACCAGAGUGUCCCCCUCUCACCUCCAAGCCAUGUCCUUGCCCACCUAUCACAAGACACGGGUCUCUAGUAGCUUCUGAUGUCUCAGUGACCAGGGAAGGUCAAGUUUGCUCAAAGUCCUGGAUUCCUCUGACUUCUCUACACUCAGAACUUACAUUUGGAGAUCACGCCUUCUCUAAGACUCCAAAGAGCCUACACUUUGCUGAAGCAGUCUGCCCAUCACGGCCUGCUAACUGGUCUUCCAUGGAGGCACCAAGGCUGGGCCACCUUGACCUUCAGAGCCAUACCCCACAAGGCUGUCCAGAUGUGUCCUCCACCGUCCUCAUAAAUCUCAGGCCUCCAGUUCUUGGCCCUGAGGCCAUACCCCAUUGCCUUGGUCUCUGUCUCCCUGCUUAGCAACUGGCUCAUCUGCCAUCCACAUCCAGCUUCCAGACACCCUGUUCUUCUGGGCGUGGGGAGGUCCUGCUUGGCUGCUGCUUCUGUGACCCACAACCCAAGACGACGAGGAUCUGACUCGUUCUUUUCUAGACUGCUUUUGCCACAGCUGAAGUGGGAGUCCAGCUGUCAUGGCGCUUCCUCUUUAAUGUGCAUUCCACGUUCCCGGCUGCAGAAACCAGCCACCUGAGAGUCAAAAUCAAUAUGGUCUCUCUUUUUUGCAUGAAGUUUCCACAGGAGAAACCAGGGCCCUUUUUUUUGUAGGUUCACCUCUUCCUUUUCAGACAGGAGAUUUCUAAAGGACACAUACUUCCUUCAGUAAAGCCCUCCAAGGAGCCUGACUUUCCCAUCAAUUGGGAAGUGGCGGGAAUCUUUCCCAUUGGAUCCGUAAAGAGUGGGCAUCAAGGACCUUCUUGCUGUUUGGUAACAGAAAACAGACUACGACCUUGGGGGAAGAAGAGCGGAAUGAAGAAAAGUAGGUGGGGAGAAAGGCUUGGCAAGGCUUUUCCUAAAUGUCCCUCCACGUUGGUCUACUUUCAUACUGUUGCUGUUUUGUUUAGUAAAGAGUCCAUGUGAAUUGGUGAAAAACAGGCAUGAAAGACAAUGUCCACAGAGAGAUAAGCAAGAAAAUGUGUCUAAAAUGGACCUGCGUUCAAUUUCACAGAGAGCCAAGAAAAUAAAGCCUGUCACUCUGAGAAGCCAAUCCCCACCUGUUGCACGGGCAGGAAUCUAAAAGGCUGGUCAUCCCAGCGAUGGAAGACUGUUUUGUGGAGAAAUUGAAGGAUUUGGGAACUGUCCCUCUCCUUGCCCAACCUGACACAUUUUAUAUGCAUGAAUGAAUGUUGCAAGAAUACAAGGUGCUGGAGUCACGAAUGGGGGUUUCUCUGAGCUACAAACAGGAACACAGCUUGUAUGGCUUCCACCCAUCGAGUCCCACAGGCCACAAACAGCGGGUCACUGUACAGCCAUGACAAAGAAAACAUAGCUCUUUGUACCCACAUGAGAAGCAGCCUGCCCCCUACCUGACUUCCAACAGCGAGACAUAAGCCUUUGUUCCUUGGGGGAAAGAUCCAGGAUUCUCACCCCAGUCUUUUGGAAUAUAAGAAGUCUCUCUCCAAAAACCUUAAUUUGUCUAGGGCUUUUAGAAUCAGAGAGGUCUCCAAGGUGUGGAAUGUAAACACUUGGAGGCAGUGAGGGAAGUAACAAUCCCUUUGUCCUGUGGUGUUUUAAGGAUUUCCUGCGGUGGUAUUUUGAACCUUAACUAUUGAGGAUGUUAACUGAGAAGUUUUAUUAUCCUUACAAAUCAGAGAAAUUAAAAAAAAAUGAAUAGGUUGAAAAAACCAAUCUGAGCUCUAAGGAAAGUCAAGGCAAACUGCCACCUGUGGCCACAUAGUGUCCAUGUCCGGAGAGUAUUGAGACAACUCCGAAAGGCUUUGUUUGAUUUUCCUUUAACAAAAUACGAAACAAAAACCAACAAAUUAAAGUUGGGCAGAGCAGAUGAAAAAGAGCUCAGGAGAAGGCACCAGAGUCAGAGAGCCACCCGUUCCCACACUCGGGAGUCUCAUAAAAAUGCUACACCGAAAGCUGAAAUGUAUAGGCAAAGGUGUGGGCUUAGUCCCAGGGCUUUCACUAAAGUGCAGAAGCUGUGUCUUGUUUCUGCGGAUGGCAAUGCACAUCCUUCACGUUCUUCACGGGGAGGAAGAAAUCCAGGACAGUCAGCUCUGUCCACACGACUCUGGAUUCUACUCCAGGAAUUCCACUUUGUGGUUUCGUGACAAAGAUGAUGAACGAAGCCAAGAGGAGUCCCAAGGCUUUCAGUUCCGGGGCGGCUGAGACUGACAGAGCCGAAAGCAAGAUGCAAAGGAAGCAAUGCCGGCAGAGUUUGAGUGGCAGGCCCCCGAAGGUGGGGGCAGAAAUGCUCUGGAGUGGAAGGGAUGGAUACCCUGCUCCACCCCAUCCCGGGAAGAUGUAAUCUUGUAAUCUGCAUUUCCUACCUUUCUACUCAUUUUUUUUUUCCUGUGAGUUGUAAAGCUGAAAACAGUAAAUGACAUUUUUUUUCCUCUUCCCCAAUUUGGCCAACUUGUGUCAAGAUCUGGUCCUGCAGCUGUCUUUGAGAAUCUGUCCAAUAAUGAACCCGAGAGAGGAGUUGCAAUGGCAAACCUGAGCACAUGGGUUCCUACAUGAAAUAUUGUCUUGAUUGUUUUGAAAUGAUCCUUCUAGUCCUAGACUGUUUUUAAAUGAUCCUUUUAUGUCCUGAUCUGGAAUACUUUUCAUUGUCUAGUGGAGUGAAAAAUUGCACACAACACAGCUCUUAGUCCAAAAGGAAUAGGAGAAUUUGUUUUGAGCCAAAUAUGAGUGGCCAAUGCCAAGAAACUCACAUGGAGGUUAUCUUGAAAGUGCAAGUACUCUCCUCCAUAGAAGAGGCUACAUGGAUGCUCAUAAUUUAGAGCAAAGGGUCAUAGACUAAUACAAUACAAUGGUGGGGAUGUCAGCUACACAGCACAGAAGAGAAAGGAAAUCUCUUCAAAAGGACCCAGCCCAGGUUUGGGUUUGGGGCUGGUGGGAGUCAGUGGUCCAACUCAGAGAACACAUGCCCAAAGUAUUGCCUGACAGUAACAAUGGCAUUAGAGGUCAGAAACAGAAAUUGGUCAUUAAUGGCUUUUAAGGGGGACUGAAGUUAGCCAGAGGUCAUUUUGGCCCUUGGUCUACAACAUUCCUGUCUUCCGGCCUGGAUUUCUGAUUGGUUAAUCGCUACAGAAUCUUUUCCAUGAACGUGGCCCUUUUCACAGCAUGGGGAAAGAUGUUGAGACAGCCUCAUUGUCUUUGGAAGAUUAUGGGCGAGAAGAGUUUAAGUGCAGCCGAGAAGAGUUUGCAAACCUAGCACAGUAGCAGCAGAAAUAGAAAAUUCCAUGACCUUAUGCUAAGGAACAUACUGAAUCCGCUUGUGGACAAGGGGCUGGGCUGUGACAGGAACGAAUGGAAGCGUUUUCUCAGGGACUCAGAUUUAUUCGCUCAACAAAAUUUUGAGUGGCUGCUCUGUACCAGGCACAGAAUUUUCCCCAAAGACAGUGCUGGGAAAAUGGUGCUCCAGUAGGAAGGCUGAGGCAUCACCGUGAGUCCCACCAUGGCAGGUGUCAGAAAUGCCUUGAGGAAAAAUUAAAUCGCGUGUCCCAGAGACAGGGCUGCUAUUUUGAAUUGGAUGAUGAGGGAAAGUUUCUCUCUAGGAAAGACCCAAGGCAAGAGGGGCUCCAAUCAAGCACUUGUGUGGCAAGCCCCAUUUUGUGGUUCGUUUCUAUUCUCCGAGGACUCCAUAAAGUACCCAGAACCCAGCCCGAACACAUUCUUGGUGAACUUCUAGUCUAAGAAGAUACCCGUGUCCACAGUCUGUCACCCCAUUUUCUCUGCAUUUCACCCCAAAUAUAUAUAAACAGAAUUGGCAAAGGAAAAUGGAUUUAUUUACAGUUUGGACAAAACGGAAAGAGACAAAGGCUUUGAUUUUUCUCCUACAGUGCCUUGUAGUGCUGUGUCACCGUUCGUGUGUGCAUAGAGACACACACAUACAAGACGUGGGCCACUCAGAGGACCCUGCCAGGUGCAAGACUCUAGGACCCUCUCUUUCCAGGGAGAUUCCGGAGAAAUCCUAAUUCCUGUUUGUUUCCUCGGGACUUGGGGGGUCCAGUGUUCCACCAGCAGAGAGCUGGGUGGCUACCAUACCUUUCUCCACUGAACACACACAAGUUGCUGUUGAUCACACGGCCCAGAACUGCUCUGGGCAGUGCAAGGCGUACGAGGGAAGAGCAUGCAGUCUAGAGAGGCAUAUUCCAGACUCAGCUCCUGCUUUCCUACUGAGUGACCUUGACCCGGACCCCUCCGUGACAUUCUAAAACAAGGAAUAAUUUCAAUUAUCCCGCAGAAACAAUGUUUUUAAAGACUUCAUUCGGUGUCUGGUAUAGAAGUGUUAAAACUACUGCUAUUGCCGCUAACUUGAGAGUCAGCUCUUGUUGAACUUGGAGAAUUCUUUUCCCCAACCGUAUUGAGAACAAUUGACAAAUAAAGCUUGCCUGUACUUCA
Non-coding RNA from Myodes glareolus (Bank vole), 4792 nucleotides. Lineage: Eukaryota; Metazoa; Chordata; Mammalia; Rodentia; Cricetidae. The record is from RefSeq and is a predicted model, not a curated record.